RNAcentral lists this ribosomal RNA (425 nucleotides) under uncultured bacterium. RNAcentral's name for it is "bacterial SSU rRNA". It matches the Rfam family "Bacterial small subunit ribosomal RNA", at positions 917 to 1341 of the family's 1533-position model. The record is from RNAcentral.
GGACCCGCACAAGCGGUGGAGCAUGUGGUUUAAUUCGAAGCAACGCGAAGAACCUUACCAACUCUUGACAUCCCCCUGACCGGUACAGAGAUGUAUCUUCCCCUUCGGGGGCAGGGGUGACAGGUGGUGCAUGGUUGUCGUCAGCUCGUGUCGUGAGAUGUUGGGUUAAGUCCCGCAACGAGCGCAACCCUUGUCCUUAGUUGCCAGCAUUUAGUUGGGCACUCUAGGGAGACUGCCGGUGACAAACCGGAGGAAGGUGGGGAUGACGUCAAAUCAUCAUGCCCCUUAUGAGUUGGGCUACACACGUGCUACAAUGGACGGUACAAAGGGCAGCAAAGCCGCGAGGUGGAGCCAAUCCCAGAAAGCCGUUCUCAGUUCGGAUUGCAGGCUGCAACUCGCCUGCAUGAAGUCGGAAUCGCUAGUAA